Molecule: long non-coding RNA, 145 nt
Organism: Bufo bufo (common toad)
Lineage: Eukaryota; Metazoa; Chordata; Amphibia; Anura; Bufonidae
Exons: 3
Source: RefSeq, a predicted model, not a curated record
AAGAAAAAUAUAGACCUUUGAAAAGUGAACUGUGUGUGUUAAGAUAAGAUAAGAUUUGUACGUACUACUAACCAAAAAUAUGCAUCUCUUGUUAAAAAUCUAAACUCAUUAGUUAACACAUUUUUUGUAAAAGUGAAACUUGAAA